RNAcentral lists this long non-coding RNA (242 nucleotides) under Apteryx owenii (little spotted kiwi). RNAcentral's name for it is "lncRNA (ENSAOWG00000013844.1)". The record is from RNAcentral. Lineage: Eukaryota; Metazoa; Chordata; Aves; Apterygiformes; Apterygidae.
UCACCACAGACUUCAUGUGUGAUCUUGGAUAAUUUGUCUGGAAUCUCAGUUGUCUAUAAAAAAGGCCAGAAGAAAGGAAUUUUGAAGCAGGCCUGGAAGGAGGACCGUUGAGAUGAUGUGGCCAUCUUAAAAGACCUCACCUCCUGGAGUCACGUCUAUAGCUUCCCAAACCGUCUACAGAGUUGCCAGCUUUUGCAAUUUUUGGUCACUUGCAUUAUACAAAUGCAACAUGUUUGCAGCAG